GAGAGCACUCCUACGGGAGGCAGCAGUGGGGAAUAUUGCACAAUGGGCGCAAGCCUGAUGCAGCCAUGCCGCGUGUAUGAAGAAGGCCUUCGGGUUGUAAAGUACUUUCAGCAGUGAGGAAGGUGGGUAUGUUAAUAGCAUACUCAUUUGACGUUAGCUGCAGAAGAAGCACCGGCUAACUCCGUGCCAGCAGCCGCGGUAAUACGGAGGGUGCGAGCGUUAAUCGGAAUUACUGGGCGUAAAGCGCAUGCAGGUGGUUUGUUAAGUCAGAUGUGAAAGCCCGGGGCUCAACCUCGGAAUUGCAUUUGAAACUGGCAAACUAGAGUACUGUAGAGGGGGUAGAAUUUCAGGUGUAGCGGUGAAAUGCGUAGAGAUCUGAAGGAAUACCGGUGGCGAAGGUGGCCCCCUGGACAGAUACUGACACUCAGAUGCGAAAGCGUGGGGAGCAAACAGGAUUAGAUACCCUGGUAG
This 471-nucleotide ribosomal RNA is filed under the name uncultured bacterium. RNAcentral's name for it is "bacterial SSU rRNA". It matches the Rfam family "Bacterial small subunit ribosomal RNA", at positions 329 to 793 of the family's 1533-position model. The record is from RNAcentral.